Molecule: ribosomal RNA, 301 nt
Filed under: uncultured bacterium
Lineage: Bacteria
Description: partial 16S ribosomal RNA
Rfam family: Bacterial small subunit ribosomal RNA
Source: RNAcentral
CAGUAGCCACGGGAAUACAGAGGGUGCGAGCGUUAAUCGGAUUUACUGGGCGUAAAGGGCGCGUAGGCGGUUUGUUAAGUCAGAUGUGAAAUCCCCGAGCUUAACUUGGGAACUGCAUUUGAAACUGGCAAGCUAGAGUCUUGUAGAGGGGGGUAGAAUUCCAGGUGUAGCGGUGAAAUGCGUAGAGAUCUGGAGGAAUACCGGUGGCGAAGGCGGCCCCCUGGACAAAGACUGACGCUCAGGUGCGAAAGCGUGGGGAGCAAACAGGAUUAGAUACCCGCGUAGUCCCUGUCUCUUAUAC